Jaculus jaculus (lesser Egyptian jerboa) is the source of this 131-nucleotide small nucleolar RNA. Its record names the gene SNORA71. It matches the Rfam family "Small nucleolar RNA SNORA71". Rfam says of the family: The members of this family belong to the H/ACA class of snoRNAs which bind a number of proteins (including dyskerin, Gar1p and Nop10p) to form snoRNP complexes. This class of snoRNAs are thought to guide the sites of modification of uridines to pseudouridines by forming direct base pairing interactions with substrate RNAs. The record is from Ensembl. NCBI's taxonomy places the organism in Eukaryota, Metazoa, Chordata, Mammalia, Rodentia, Dipodidae.
CCUUGCAUUUGAAAGUGAUCGUGGGAUGCCAAUGCCCUAGUCACUAAGCCUGCAGGGACAGGAUGUAGAAAGCCUUUCCCCAUGUUUGGAAGGUCCCCUCCUGUCCUUGCAACCCUUGGUGAGUUCCUACA